GGCGCUCGCGUGUCUUGGGGCUUUGCUGCCGACAAAAGAAAAGAGGUAAAAAUCACAAAAGAGAAAGGAGGUGUGGGGCAGGGUAUGGAUCAGGAGAGGCGAUGGAGAGCGAGGCAAUGGGUUAGGCGGCAGCAGCGGCCGCCAUGGGAGCCGCCGGAGAUUUCCCCCUGGAUCCAGUGCGCAGCUUGCCGAUCUUCGAGCCGGGGGCCUAGCCCCGCGCCUCCUUUCAUGAUGAGGGGAGCAAGAUCGAAGGCUGGGCAACCGACGGGCUGAGAGAUUCGUCGGUGGCUGCUCACGACAGUUGUGGCGAACCUGGUGGCGAGGGGAGCAGAGACGGCGCUCCUGCCGAGUCUGGCGAGGCGGCAAGUCGGCGGUGAAGCACGAUCCCAAGGGGCUGGGCUGGAUUAGAAGCUUGUCGAUCUUGAAUUUGUGGUCGUCGUCGCACGGCUCUGUUCAGGACGAGGUGGGUGAGAUCGAGGGCUGGGGGCGCUGCACUGCGAGAUUCGUCGGUGGUUGCUCACGACAGUUGCGGCAACCCUGGGGGUGAGAACAGUACAGACAGCGGUCCUACGGAGUCCGGGGAGUCCGCGGUCAAGCCAGAUCAGUAAGCGCCGGGGUGGAUUAAAAGGUAUUUCAUGCCUGAUUAACAUUGUGUGGCGUGUGGUGAUGACUAGAGAAUUUACAUUUUUUUUGGCAUGUGGCUGGUGAUUGUUCUUGUGGCGGCGGUGGCCUGCGGUCUGUGUGGGGCUGUGGUUACAUGAUGGCAGCAAAAUUUAUGAUGUUGUAGGAGCUGGACGAAUGGUUCAUGUGGGUUACAACAAUGAAAAUGCAGCUGAUUUUUGUAUUGGCUGGUUAUUCUGACAGGUUACAACAAUGAAAAUGGCUAGUUGGAAUCA
This is a long non-coding RNA of Triticum urartu, 896 nucleotides long. RefSeq lists it as uncharacterized. Lineage: Eukaryota; Viridiplantae; Streptophyta; Magnoliopsida; Poales; Poaceae. The record is from RefSeq and is a predicted model, not a curated record.